UGCAAGUCGAGCGGACAGAUGGGAGCUUGCUCCCUGAUGUUAGCGGCGGACGGGUGAGUAACACGUGGGUAACCUGCCUGUAAGACUGGGAUAACUCCGGGAAACCGGGGCUAAUACCGGAUGCUUGUUUGAACCGCAUGGUUCAAACAUAAAAGGUGGCUUCGGCUACCACUUACAGAUGGACCCGCGGCGCAUUAGCUAGUUGGUGAGGUAAUGGCUCACCAAGGCAACGAUGCGUAGCCGACCUGAGAGGGUGAUCGGCCACACUGGGACUGAGACACGGCCCAGACUCCUACGGGAGGCAGCAGUAGGGAAUCUUCCGCAAUGGACGAAAGUCUGACGGAGCAACGCCGCGUGAGUGAUGAAGGUUUUCGGAUCGUAAAGCUCUGUUGUUAGGGAAGAACAAGUACCGUUCGAAUAGGGCGGUACCUUGACGGUACCUAACCAGAAAGCCACGGCUAACUACGUGCCAGCAGCCGCGGUAAUACGUAGGUGGCAAGCGUUGUCCGGAAUUAUUGGGCGUAAAGGGCUCGCAGGCGGUUCCUUAAGUCUGAUGUGAAAGCCCCCGGCUCAACCGGGGAGGGUCAUUGGAAACUGGGGGAACUUGAGUGCAG
Molecule: ribosomal RNA, 614 nt
Filed under: bacterium
Lineage: Bacteria
Description: bacterial SSU rRNA
Rfam family: Bacterial small subunit ribosomal RNA
Source: RNAcentral